GAUGAAGAACGUAGCGAAAUGCGAUACUUGGUGUGAAUUGCAGAAUCCCGUGAACCAUCGAGUCUUUGAACGCAAGUUGCGCCCGAAGCCAUCAGGUUGAGGGCACGUCUGCCUGGGCGUCACAUAUCGUUGCCCAAUGCCUAUUGCAGUGCAAUAGGAAUUUCUAGGGCGAAUGAUGGCUUCCCGUGAGCGUUGUUGCCUCGCGGUUGGUUGAAAAUCGAGUCCUUGGUAGGGUGUGCCAUGGUAGAUGGUGGUCGAGUUAGAACGAUACCGAUCAUGUGCAUGCUCCCCAAAAUAUGGACUCUUUGACCCCACACGCGUCUUUUGACGCUCAUGACGAGACCUCAGGUCAGGCGGGGCUACCCGCUGAGUUUAAGCAUAUCAAUAAGCGGAGGA
RNAcentral lists this unclassified non-coding RNA (396 nucleotides) under soil metagenome. RNAcentral describes it as "partial contains 5.8S ribosomal RNA, internal transcribed spacer 2, and large subunit ribosomal RNA". The stretch from base 1 to 122 matches the Rfam family "5.8S ribosomal RNA", at positions 35 to 154 of the family's 154-position model. The record is from RNAcentral.